GACGAACGCUGGCGGCGUGCUUAACACAUGCAAGUCGAACGGAAAGGCCCUGCUUUUGUGGGGUGCUCGAGUGGCGAACGGGUGAGUAACACGUGAGUAACCUGCCCUUGACUUUGGGAUAACUUCAGGAAACUGGGGCUAAUACCGGAUAGGAGCUCCUGCUGCAUGGUGGGGGUUGGAAAGUUUCGGCGGUUGGGGAUGGACUCGCGGCUUAUCAGCUUGUUGGUGGGGUAGUGGCUUACCAAGGCUUUGACGGGUAGCCGGCCUGAGAGGGUGACCGGCCACAUUGGGACUGAGAUACGGCCCAGACUCCUACGGGAGGCAGCAGUGGGGAAUAUUGCACAAUGGGCGGAAGCCUGAUGCAGCAACGCCGCGUGCGGGAUGACGGCCUUCGGGUUGUAAACCGCUUUCGCCUGUGACGAAGCGUGAGUGACGGUAAUGGGUAAAGAAGCACCGGCUAACUACGUGCCAGCAGCCGCGGUGAUACGUAGGGUGCGAGCGUUGUCCGGAUUUAUUGGGCGUAAAGGGCUCGUAGGUGGUUGAUCGCGUCGGAAGUGUAAUCUUGGGGCUUAACCCUGAGCGUGCUUUCGAUACGGGUUGACUUGAGGAAGGUAGGGGAGAAUGGAAUUCCUGGUGGAGCGGUGGAAUGCGCAGAUAUCAGGAGGAACACCAGUGGCGAAGGCGGUUCUCUGGGCCUUUCCUGACGCUGAGGAGCGAAAGCGUGGGGAGCGAACAGGCUUAGAUACCCUGGUAGUCCACGCUGUAAACGGUGGGUACUAGGUGUGGGGUCCAUUCCACGGGUUCCGUGCCGUAGCUAACGCUUUAAGUACCCCGCCUGGGGAGUACGGCCGCAAGGCUAAAACUCAAAGGAAUUGACGGGGCCCCGCACAAGCGGCGGAGCAUGCGGAUUAAUUCGAUGCAACGCGUAGAACCUUACCUGGGUUUGACAUGGAUCGGGAGUGCUCAGAGAUGGGUGUGCCUCUUUUGGGGUCGGUUCACAGGUGGUGCAUGGCUGUCGUCAGCUCGUGUCGUGAGAUGUUGGGUUAAGUCCCGCAACGAGCGCAACCCUUGUUCACUGUUGCCAGCACGUUAUGGUGGGGACUCAGUGGAGACCGCCGGGGUCAACUCGGAGGAAGGUGGGGAUGACGUCAAGUCAUCAUGCCCCUUAUGUCCAGGGCUUCACGCAUGCUACAAUGGCUGGUACAGAGAGUGGCGAGCCUGUGAGGGUGAGCGAAUCUCGGAAAGCCGGUCUCAGUUCGGAUUGGGGUCUGCAACUCGACCACAUGAAGUCGGAGUCGCUAGUAAUCGCAGAUCAGCAACGCUGCGGUGAAUACGUUCCCGGG
RNAcentral lists this ribosomal RNA (1343 nucleotides) under uncultured bacterium. Its description in RNAcentral is "16S ribosomal RNA". It matches the Rfam family "Bacterial small subunit ribosomal RNA", at positions 28 to 1378 of the family's 1533-position model. The record is from RNAcentral.